This 253-nucleotide ribosomal RNA is filed under the name uncultured bacterium. Its description in RNAcentral is "partial 16S ribosomal RNA". It matches the Rfam family "Bacterial small subunit ribosomal RNA", at positions 524 to 776 of the family's 1533-position model. The record is from RNAcentral.
UACGAAGGGUGCAAACGUUGCUCGGAAUUAUUGGGCGUAAAGCGCACGUAGGCGGCAUUGCAAGUCGGAUGUGAAAUCCCUCGGCUUAACCAAGGAAGUGCAUCCGAAACUGCAGUGCUUGAGUACUUAAGAGGAUCGCGGAAUUCCCGGUGUAGAGGUGAAAUUCGUAGAUAUCGGGAGGAACGCCGGUGGCGAAAGCGGCGUGCUGGACCUUUGCUGACGCUGAGACGCGAAAGCGUGGGGAGCGAACAGG